Molecule: long non-coding RNA, 672 nt
Organism: Megalobrama amblycephala (Wuchang bream)
Lineage: Eukaryota; Metazoa; Chordata; Actinopteri; Cypriniformes; Xenocyprididae
Exons: 3
Source: RefSeq, a predicted model, not a curated record
UUUCAGCCCGUUUCACUCGUAAUACAGUAUAAUACUGUAGAAGCAUUGCAUUAUGGGAUUGAUUUUUUUACCGUGCUCAUUUCAAAUUUCUAGGCCAGGCAUACAUUUUAGCUUCUCUCUCAACGCUUUUAGUGUUUCACGUCGACUCUUCAGGGUUUAAUGUUAUCAUUAAACGAUAUUUGAGUGAAUAUAGUGUGCAGUUUUAAGCUUUUGAAGCGUCAGUUUGCCUGAGACGCGGGAUGACUGGACAGCGCUGCUGAGAUGUUAUUUUCUGCCUGAUUAAUCAAAACGUUUGCCUGUGUCGAGAAGACGGAUAAACAAUUGUUCGGCUGAGAAUACGUCUCAAUCAUCUGAUGUAGCUCCAUUGUUUACGCUCUUUGACAUAUCCCCUAAACAUGGCUCAAGAACCAGGAAGGGGGGAAAAUGACCUUCUGUGAAAUAUGGUUAUGUUAACGUAAGUAUUGCACCUAAUUUCACAUGUGAUGUAAUCAGAGACCUGAUGAAUAAGUUCAGAACAAACCUUCAUUUAUUUUUAUUAAAUAUUUUAAUCCCUAUUUUUCAUUGACAAUCAUUUCACUGUGUGUAAUUCUUAGUAUUCAAAUUCUUAAUAUUCAAAGUAUAUUUGUCAGUCCGCUGUCAGUGCAUUACUGUUUAAAGGGUUAGUUCACCAAA